AGAAGUAAGAGCGCUUGUAGUGAGUUGUCAAAAAUUGAGUAUGACAACCACUGCAAUUUCUCUAUUACAUUUUUGG
This is a microRNA precursor of Caenorhabditis elegans, 76 nucleotides long. The record is from Ensembl. NCBI's taxonomy places the organism in Eukaryota, Metazoa, Nematoda, Chromadorea, Rhabditida, Rhabditidae.